Molecule: ribosomal RNA, 524 nt
Filed under: uncultured Friedmanniella sp.
Lineage: Bacteria; Bacillati; Actinomycetota; Actinomycetes; Propionibacteriales; Nocardioidaceae
Description: bacterial SSU rRNA
Rfam family: Bacterial small subunit ribosomal RNA
Source: RNAcentral
UGGCGAACGGGUGAGUAACACGUGAGCAACCUGCCCUUGACUCUGGGAUAACAGUUGGAAACAGCUGCUAAUACUGGAUAUUCAUCGUCUCCUUGGUGGGGGGUGGUGGAAAGCUCCGGCGGUCAGGGAUGGGCUCGCGGCCUAUCAGCUUGUUGGUGAGGUAAUGGCUCACCAAGGCUUCGACGGGUAGCCGGCCUGAGAGGGCGACCGGCCACACUGGGACUGAGAUACGGCCCAGACUCCUACGGGAGGCAGCAGUGGGGAAUAUUGCACAAUGGGCGAAAGCCUGAUGCAGCAACGCCGCGUGCGGGAUGACGGCCUUCGGGUUGUAAACCGCUUUCAGUAGGGACGAAGGGUGACUGACGGUACCUACAGAAGAAGGACCGGCUAACUACGUGCCAGCAGCCGCGGUGAUACGUAGGGUCCGAGCGUUGUCCGGAAUUAUUGGGCGUAAAGGGCUUGUAGGCGGCUCGUCGCGUCAGAAGUGAAAACUCAGGGCUUAACCCUGAGCCUGCUUUUGAUAC